GCCCAGCUUGCUGGGUGGAUUAGUGGCGAACGGGUGAGUAACACGUGAGUAACCUGCCCCUGACUCCGGGAUAAGCGUUGGAAACGACGUCUAAUACUGGAUAUGAUCACCGGCCGCAUGGUCUGGUGGUGGAAAGAUUUUUUGGUUGGGGAUGGACUCGCGGCCUAUCAGCUUGUUGGUGAGGUAAUGGCUCACCAAGGCGACGACGGGUAGCCGGCCUGAGAGGGUGACCGGCCACACUGGGACUGAGACACGGCCCAGACUCCUACGGGAGGCAGCAGUGGGGAAUAUUGCACAAUGGGCGAAAGCCUGAUGCAGCAACGCCGCGUGAGGGAUGACGGCCUUCGGGUUGUAAACCUCUUUUAGUAGGGAAGAAGCGAAAGUGACGGUACCUGCAGAAAAAGCACCGGCUAACUACGUGCCAGCAGCCGCGGUAAUACGUAGGGUGCAAGCGUUGUCCGGAAUUAUUGGGCGUAAAGAGCUCGUAGGCGGUUUGUCGCGUCUGCUGUGAAAUCCCGAGGCUCAACCUCGGGCUUGCAGUGGGUACGGGCAGACUAGAGUGCGGUAGGGGAGAUUGGAAUUCCUGGUGUAGCGGUGGAAUGCGCAGAUAUCAGGAGGAACACCGAUGGCGAAGGCAGAUCUCUGGGCCGUUACUGACGCUGAGGAGCGAAAGCGUGGGGAGCGAACAGGAUUAGAUACCCUGGUAGUCCACGCCGUAAACGUUGGGCGCUAGAUGUAGGGACCUUUCC
Molecule: ribosomal RNA, 749 nt
Filed under: Curtobacterium sp.
Lineage: Bacteria; Bacillati; Actinomycetota; Actinomycetes; Micrococcales; Microbacteriaceae
Description: bacterial SSU rRNA
Rfam family: Bacterial small subunit ribosomal RNA
Source: RNAcentral